RNAcentral lists this ribosomal RNA (737 nucleotides) under uncultured Staphylococcus sp. Its description in RNAcentral is "bacterial SSU rRNA". It matches the Rfam family "Bacterial small subunit ribosomal RNA", at positions 60 to 779 of the family's 1533-position model. Lineage: Bacteria; Bacillati; Bacillota; Bacilli; Caryophanales; Staphylococcaceae. The record is from RNAcentral.
AGUCGAGCGAACGGACGAGAAGCUUGCUUCUCUGAUGUUAGCGGCGGACGGGUGAGUAACACGUGGAUAACCUACCUAUAAGACUGGGAUAACUUCGGGAAACCGGAGCUAAUACCGGAUAAUAUUUUGAACCGCAUGGUUCAAAAGUGAAAGACGGUCUUGCUGUCACUUAUAGAUGGAUCCGCGCUGCAUUAGCUAGUUGGUAAGGUAAUGGCUUACCAAGGCAACGAUGCAUAGCCGACCUGAGAGGGUGAUCGGCCACACUGGAACUGAGACACGGUCCAGACUCCUACGGGAGGCAGCAGUAGGGAAUCUUCCGCAAUGGGCGAAAGCCUGACGGAGCAACGCCGCGUGAGUGAUGAAGGUCUUCGGAUCGUAAAACUCUGUUAUUAGGGAAGAACAUAUGUGUAAGUAACUGUGCACAUCUUGACGGUACCUAAUCAGAAAGCCACGGCUAACUACGUGCCAGCAGCCGCGGUAAUACGUAGGUGGCAAGCGUUAUCCGGAAUUAUUGGGCGUAAAGCGCGCGUAGGCGGUUUUUUAAGUCUGAUGUGAAAGCCCACGGCUCAACCGUGGAGGGUCAUUGGAAACUGGAAAACUUGAGUGCAGAAGAGGAAAGUGGAAUUCCAUGUGUAGCGGUGAAAUGCGCAGAGAUAUGGAGGAACACCAGUGGCGAAGGCGACUUUCUGGUCUGUAACUGACGCUGAUGUGCGAAAGCGUGGGGAUCAAACAGGAUU